This 458-nucleotide ribosomal RNA is filed under the name uncultured bacterium. Its description in RNAcentral is "partial 16S ribosomal RNA". It matches the Rfam family "Bacterial small subunit ribosomal RNA", at positions 338 to 795 of the family's 1533-position model. The record is from RNAcentral.
CCUACGGGUGGCAGCAGUGAGGAAUAUUGGUCAAUGGGCGAGAGCCUGAACCAGCCAAGUCGCGUGAGGGAGUACUGCCCUAUGGGUUGUAAACCUCUUUUGUCGGGGAGCAAAAGCCGGACGUGUCCGGCUGUGAGAGUACCCGAAGAAAAAGCAUCGGCUAACUCCGUGCCAGCAGCCGCGGUAAUACGGAGGAUGCGAGCGUUAUCCGGAUUUAUUGGGUUUAAAGGGUGCGCAGGCGGAUUUUUAAGUCAGCGGUAAAAUCGUGGGGCUCAACCCCAUCCAGCCGGUGAAACUGGGGAUCUAGAGUGUGCGAGAGGUAUGCGGAAUGCGUGGUGUAGCGGUGAAAUGCAUAGAUAUCACGCAGAAGCCCGAUUGCGAAGGCAGCAUACCGGUGCACAACUGACGCUCAGGCACGAAAGCGUGGGUAUCGAACAGGAUUAGAUACCCCUGUAGUC